CCCGGGCGUUGAGUUCGUAGGCGCAGCCCUAGAGAAGUCAACAUGCCGGUUGCCAGAAGUUGGGUUUGUCGCAAAACCUAUGUGACUCCACGGAGACCCUUCGAGAAAUCGCGUCUCGACCAGGAACUGAAGUUGAUCGGAGAGUAUGGGCUCCGGAACAAACGUGAGGUGUGGAGGGUCAAGUUUACCUUGGCCAAGAUCCGCAAGGCUGCCCGGGAGCUGCUGACGCUGGACGAAAAGGACCCGCGGCGUCUUUUUGAAGGCAAUGCUCUACUGAGGCGACUUGUUCGAAUUGGUGUGCUGGAUGAGGGCAAGAUGAAGCUGGAUUACAUUCUGGGCCUGAAGAUUGAGGAUUUCUUGGAGAGGAGGCUGCAGACCCAGGUGUUUAAGCUGGGCCUGGCCAAAUCUAUUCACCAUGCCCGAGUGCUUAUCCGCCAGCGUCAUAUCAGCCCUCGGGAGGUGACAAGUGUGAGUUUACCUUGAGGGUUCAGAAUCACCCUGCAAACAGCUUAUGGGGAAAUUGGAGACAGCCUUGUCUCCCUGUAGUCCAGCGCAAGGGUCACUGCGGCGUAAGCCGUACACCUUGCAAAAGUGUCUGCCAAGCAUGCAAGCAGCUGGACAGUUGACAGUCCACCUGACUGAAGUGAUAAUGCAAAGACUAGUUAGGGGUCCGCAAGCAGGUGGUGAACAUCCCAUCCUUCAUUGUCCGUCUGGACUCCCAGAAGCACAUUGACUUCUCGCUCCGUUCUCCUUAUGGUGGUGGCCGCCCAGGCAGAGUGAAGAGAAAGAAUGCCAAGAAAGGCCAGGGUGGUGCUGGAGCUGGUGAUGAUGAGGAAGAAGAUUAAAUUAAUACCUUUCUGGACUGGA
This is an RNA transcript of Meriones unguiculatus (Mongolian gerbil), 867 nucleotides long. It is a transcript of the gene named ribosomal protein S9, with no coding region annotated. NCBI's taxonomy places the organism in Eukaryota, Metazoa, Chordata, Mammalia, Rodentia, Muridae. The record is from RefSeq and is a predicted model, not a curated record. The transcript is spliced from 7 exons.